GAUGAAGAACGCAGCGAAAUGCGAUAAGUAAUGUGAAUUGCAGAAUUCAGUGAAUCAUCGAAUCUUUGAACGCACCUUGCACUCCUUGGUAUUCCGAGGAGUACGCCUGUUCGAGUGUUAUGAAGCUCUCAAAACGCAAUUGGCUUAAAACCUGAUUGUUGUUUUGGAUUUGAACUUUGCCGUGUUAUAACGGCUGGUUUUAAAAGUAUUAGCUGGUACUAGAACGAAUUGGUUCUACUCAACGUGAUAAUUAUCUGAUCGUUGAGGACAUUCCUUUCACGAGGAAUGGCCAUAGUAAAUUCAAUGGACUGCUUCUAAUCUGGCUUUAAUUCUUUAUUGGAUUAACCACUUUUCAAAUCUGACCUCGAAUCAGGUGGGACUACCAGCUGAACUUAAGCAUAUCAAUAGCGGAGGA
RNAcentral lists this unclassified non-coding RNA (415 nucleotides) under soil metagenome. RNAcentral's name for it is "partial contains 5.8S ribosomal RNA, internal transcribed spacer 2, and large subunit ribosomal RNA". The stretch from base 1 to 120 matches the Rfam family "5.8S ribosomal RNA", at positions 35 to 154 of the family's 154-position model. The record is from RNAcentral.